GUUUCUCGUAACCGAGGUCUAGGGAUAAAGGGACAGUAAUAGGUUUUAGUCACUAGGGUUUACGCACUCUAAAACCCCAUUCGAAAUUUUCAUAUCUUUUUUAUAUUCUUUCAGGACAAAAAAAAAGAGAAAGAAUGGCGAGUUCAAUGGCAAUUUUAUCAAGAAGGUUUUAUCGAUCUCUUCUCUCCAACCCUAAAAUCCCUCAACUUUCAGUGUCCUUUUGCACCACCACUACCACCACCCUUUCCUCCGCUGCUGAGAGUCCCGACUCCGAUAUUGACUCAAUUCCCGACUCACUUCCAUCGGAACCCUCAACGCCGUCAGAAUCUGCCAAGGACUCUAACACUCAGAAACGCCUAUACGAUCGUCAGCUUGAGAAUGGCCUUGAUAUGGGCAUUUAUAAGGCUAUAUUGGUUGGACAGGUAGGGCAGACCCCGGUGCAGAAAAAACUGAAGAACGGGAUGUCCCUUACAAUGUUUUCAGUGGGGACAGGUGGGAUUCGCAACAACAGGAGGCCUUACGAGAAUGAGGAACCCGUGGAGUAUGCUAAUCGCAGCGCUAUUCAGUGGCAUCGAGUCUGUGUUUACCAAAAGAUGUUAGGAGAUCUUGUCUUGAAGCAUGCUGUACCUGGGGAAAUCUGGAGAUGAAAAUCUUCACUGAUCCAAUCACUGGUCUGGUUCGACGCAUGAGAGAGAUUUCCAUUCGUCAAAAUGGUCGGAUUGUGUUUUUGGGAUAUGUGGAUGAUGCCUAACAACCAAGUUCUGGAGAAAUGAAAGGUGCUGGCUUUUACUAGAAAGCAUUGGUUUUAGUUAAAGAAUUGAAUUUGUUUCAAAUGGAACCAAUUUUGGUAUUUGUAAUUGUAUUAUGCAUAAGAUAGUUGAUGGAUGAAGAAGUUUGAGGCUUUGCAUCAACUGGUAUGAGACUUGAAAGUUGUUUAAAUUGCAUGUAAUUUUUAAACUACUUAUCUUUUUUUUUAAUAACUAAUAUCCGGCUGGGUCAGUGCUGUAGGCGCCCUAGCAAGUAAACGAAGAACAUUGGUAUUGCUUUUUGUUACGAAUUUUAUAGUUACCAUUUAAACUUGGAAGUAGUUGUGAAGCAAGCUUGCAUUUUGGAAAGAUGUAAGAAAUGUAGAAGUUGGAACUUGGAAGUAGAAGAAAAUGAAUCAUCGUUUAUUCAAAGUAAAUUAGAGCUUGGGUAAGACAAAAGCUAGUUGGGCUUAAGAAGCAAAAAGAAUAUAAAGCGUGGGGGUUGGAGAACAUUGGAGGCCCAGCUCAGCCCGUGUAACACUUAGUGCCCUUUUUUUUUAUUCCACUUCCCGAGUUGUACGACCACGACUAGCAUCUCUCUU
Molecule: RNA transcript, 1348 nt
Organism: Durio zibethinus
Lineage: Eukaryota; Viridiplantae; Streptophyta; Magnoliopsida; Malvales; Malvaceae
Gene name: Nucleic acid-binding, OB-fold-like protein
Source: RefSeq, a predicted model, not a curated record